UAACACGUAAGCAACCUGCCCGAAAGACCGGGAUAACGUUUCGAAAGAGGCGCUAAUACCGGAUGUGACCGCGACAUCUAAACAUUGGCUUUCGGAGGGGCUUGCGGCCUAUCAGCUAGAUGGCGAGGUAACGGCUCACCAUGGCGUCGACGGGUAGCUGGUCUGAGAGGAUGGUCAGCCGGACUGGGACUGAGAUACGGCCCAGACUCCUACGGGGGGCAGCAAUUAGGAAUCUUGCGCAAUGGGCGAAAGCCUGACGCAGCGACGCCGCGUGGAGGAGGAAGGCCUUCGGGUUGUAAACUCCUUUUAGGUGGGAAGAAUGACGGUACCACCAGAAUAAGCCCCGGCUAACUCCGUGCCAGCAGCCGCGGUAAUACGGAGGGGGCGAGCGUUGUCCGAAGUUACUGGGCGUAAAGCGCGCGUAGGUGGGUUGGCAAGUCCGCUGUGAAAGCCCGGAGCUCAACUCCGGAGGGUCGGUGGAUAC
This 484-nucleotide ribosomal RNA is filed under the name uncultured soil bacterium. RNAcentral's name for it is "bacterial SSU rRNA". It matches the Rfam family "Bacterial small subunit ribosomal RNA", at positions 111 to 633 of the family's 1533-position model. The record is from RNAcentral.